Molecule: ribosomal RNA, 468 nt
Filed under: uncultured bacterium
Lineage: Bacteria
Description: partial 16S ribosomal RNA
Rfam family: Bacterial small subunit ribosomal RNA
Source: RNAcentral
GACGAACGCUGGCGGCGUGCUUAACACAUGCAAGUCGAACGGAAAGGCCCUGCUUUUGUGGGGUGCUCGAGUGGCGAACGGGUGAGUAACACGUGAGUAACCUGCCCUUGACUUUGGGAUAACUUCAGGAAACUGGGGCUAAUACCGGAUAGGAGCUCCUGCUGCAUGGUGGGGGUUGGAAAGUUUCGGCGGUUGGGGAUGGACUCGCGGCUUAUCAGCUUGUUGGUGGGGUAGUGGCUUACCAAGGCUUUGACGGGUAGCCGGCCUGAGAGGGUGACCGGCCACAUUGGGACUGAGAUACGGCCCAGACUCCUACGGGAGGCAACAGUGGGGAAUAUUGCAAAAUGGGCGGAAGGCUGAUGCAGCAACGCCGGGGGGGGGAUGGAGGCCUUCGGGGUGGAAACCGCUUUCGCCCGUGACGAAGGGUGAGUGACGGUAAUGGGGAAAGAAGCAACGGCUAACUACGUG